GAUGAACGCUGGCGGCGUGCCUAAUACAUGCAAGUCGAGCGAACAGAUGAGGAGCUUGCUCCUCUGACGUUAGCGGCGGACGGGUGAGUAACACGUGGAUAACCUACCUAUAAGACUGGGAUAACUUCGGGAAACCGGAGCUAAUACCGGAUAAUAUAUUGAACCGCAUGGUUCAAUAGUGAAAGACGGUUUUGCUGUCACUUAUAGAUGGAUCCGCGCCGCAUUAGCUAGUUGGUAAGGUAACGGCUUACCAAGGCAACGAUGCUUAGCCGACCUGAGAGGGUGAUCGGCCACACUGGAACUGAGACACGGUCCAGACUCCUACGGGAGGCAGCAGUAGGGAAUCUUCCGCAAUGGGCGAAAGCCUGACGGAGCAACGCCGCGUGAGUGAUGAAGGUCUUCGGAUCGUAAAACUCUGUUAUUAGGGAAGAACAAAUGUGUAAGUAACUAUGCACGUCUUGACGGUACCUAAUCAGAAAGCCACGGCUAACUACGU
This 496-nucleotide ribosomal RNA is filed under the name uncultured bacterium. RNAcentral describes it as "partial 16S ribosomal RNA". It matches the Rfam family "Bacterial small subunit ribosomal RNA", at positions 28 to 506 of the family's 1533-position model. The record is from RNAcentral.